This 400-nucleotide ribosomal RNA is filed under the name Acinetobacter baumannii. RNAcentral's name for it is "bacterial SSU rRNA". It matches the Rfam family "Bacterial small subunit ribosomal RNA", at positions 100 to 497 of the family's 1533-position model. Lineage: Bacteria; Pseudomonadati; Pseudomonadota; Gammaproteobacteria; Moraxellales; Moraxellaceae. The record is from RNAcentral.
GACGGGUGAGUAAUGCUUAGGAAUCUGCCUAUUAGUGGGGGACAACAUCUCGAAAGGGAUGCUAAUACCGCAUACGUCCUACGGGAGAAAGCAGGGGAUCUUCGGACCUUGCGCUAAUAGAUGAGCCUAAGUCGGAUUAGCUAGUUGGUGGGGUAAAGGCCUACCAAGGCGACGAUCUGUAGCGGGUCUGAGAGGAUGAUCCGCCACACUGGGACUGAGACACGGCCCAGACUCCUACGGGAGGCAGCAGUGGGGAAUAUUGGACAAUGGGGGGAACCCUGAUCCAGCCAUGCCGCGUGUGUGAAGAAGGCCUUAUGGUUGUAAAGCACUUUAAGCGAGGAGGAGGCUACUUUAGUUAAUACCUAGGGAUAGUGGACGUACUCGCAGAAUAAGCACCGGC